UUCCGGUUGAUCCUGCCGGAGGCUACCGCUAUUGGAGUUCGAUUAAGCCAUGCGAGUCCAGAGCUUUCGGAGCUCGGCGUACCGCUCAGUAACACGUGGGUAACCUAACCUAUGCAGGGGAAUAACCUCGGGAAACUGAGAAUAAUGCCCCAUAGUCCACUACGCCUGGAACGGUGAGUGGAUGAAAGCUCAGGCGGCAUAGGAUGGGCCUGCGGCGUAUCAGGUUGUAGGGGGUGUAAAGUACCCUCUAGCCCUCUACGCGUACGGGUGUUGGGAGACAUAGCCCGGAGAUGGAUUCUGAGACACGAAUCCAGACCCUACGGGGUGCAGCAGGCGCGAAAACUUGGCAAUGCGAGCAAUCGUGACCAGGGAACUCCAAGUGGCUGGGGUAAGACCCAGUCUUUUCAGAACUCUUCAAAGGUUUUAGAAUAAGGGGUGGGUAAGGACGGUGCCAGCCGCCGCGGUAAUACCGGCGCCUCAAGUGGUAGUCGCUUUUAUUGGGCCUAAAACGUCCGUAGCCGGUUUGGUACAUUCGUGGGUAAAUCAACUCGCUCAACGAGUUGAAUUCUGCGAGGACGGCCAGACUUGGGACCGGGAGAGGUGUGGGGUACGCUCAGGGUAGGGGUAAAAUCCUGUCAUCCUGAGCGGACCACCUGUUGCGAAGGCGCCACACUAGAACGGAUCCGACGGUCAGGGACGAAGCCUAGGGGCACGAACCGGAUUAGAUACCCGGGUAGUCCUAGGUGUAAACGCUGUGGACUUGAUGUUGGGGGUGCUCCGAGCACUCUCAGUGUCGAAGCGAAGGUGAUAAGUCCACUGCCUGGGAAGUACGGUCGCAAGGCUGAAACUUAAAGGAAUUGGCGGGGGAGCACCGCAACCUGAGGAUUGUGCGGUUUAAUUGGAGUCAACGCCGGA
RNAcentral lists this ribosomal RNA (915 nucleotides) under uncultured marine archaeon. RNAcentral describes it as "bacterial SSU rRNA". It matches the Rfam family "Archaeal small subunit ribosomal RNA", at positions 1 to 922 of the family's 1478-position model. The record is from RNAcentral.